AUGAUGGGGAAGACGCAGAAGUUCUCCAAGGGGCACCCGCUCGGUUUCGUGCCGGACUACCGAUAUGGGGUGGAAACUGUGGGGGUGUCAAAGGGCCUUGGGAAUCCUGCAAGAAGUGAAGCCAAGAGAAAAUGCAUCAACCUGAAUACGGACGAGGGGGCUGAUGCUCCCGGAUUUAAUGUGCCGCGUGUGGUCUUUGAGUUGCCGAGGAUGUCGGCCUCGGAUAGGAAUGAGCUGGAGAUGAGGCUCCGCGACGAGCUCGAGCAGGUCAGGGCCCUCCAGAGUAGGUUGUUUUCAAGAGGGGCUACGACGAGCAUGAAUGGUGGGACUGCGUCGGCUCCCAGAGGUGAUUUCAACGGCAAUAAAAAGGAUGGGAAGCUCAGGAGGAGCAAUUCAGUGCAGUCUGGCAGAGGAUUACCGCCAUCAGUUGCCCAACCUGUAGUCAGCUCCAUUAACUACACAGCAUCGUUUAAAAAAUGCCAGGAGCUUCUGAAGAACCUUAUGAAGCAUCGCUCUGCAAGCCCGUUUGUUAUGCCAGUUGAUCCUGUGAAGUUGUGUAUCCCUGAUUAUUUUGAUAUAGUCAAGCACCCAAUGGAUUUGGGUACUAUACAGAAAAAGCUGAAUGCAGGUGUGUACCCUACACCUUGGGAGUUUGCCGCAGACGUGAGGCUUACUUUUAGCAACGCUAUACUUUAUAACCCAGUCGGUAAUGCAGUUAACAUAAUGGCCCAGACUAUGAGCAGUGUUUUUGAACCUAGAUGGAAGCCUAUCGAAAAGAAGCUUCCUCGACCAGAUGAGGAACUCUCUGCAAUUGAGCCUUCAAAAAAUGAUGCAGUUGAGAAAAAUAUUGUUGACAACAAAGAGCCUUUUGAUAGAAGACCUUCAAAUAAAGGUGCAUAUAAGAAAAACACCUUUCAAAAAGAGGAGGUGGUUGCCAAGCCAGUUUUGCACCCGAAGAAGAGGAAAGCCUCUCCUUUGGUUCAGGAUGCUCCAGUAGCAUCAGUGAUACAGAUGGCUCAGGUGGCUGAGGAGGUUCCAGUGGUACAAACUGCUAUGGGAAUGAUGACAGAUGAACAAAAGGUUGCUCUAAGCGUAAGACUACAAUCAUAUGGUGGAUUCAUUCCAGAACAUGUAGUUGAGUUCAUAAAGAGGCAUGUUAAUGAUGAUAAUGAUGCUGAUGAAGAUGAGUUGACUAUUGACAUGAACGCUCUCAGCGAUGAUACCCUGUUUGAAUUACAGAAGCUUCUUGAUGACUAUGAUAUAGUAAAUCAGUCUGGAAACCCUACAAAAGAUGAGCCUCAAGAGGUUGAGUUCCAAAGUGAAUAUGGACUUGCCAACUCAUCAAUGCAUCAUGAAGGCAAUGAGCUUGUUGAGGAAGACAUUGAUAUUGGUGGGAACGAUCUUCCACCUUUAACAUACCCCCCUGUGGUAUUUGAAAGUGAAACGGCAGACAGAAGCAGCAAGCAUAGUUCUUCUAGCAGUUCUAGUAGUGAGUCAGGAUCAUCCUCCAGUGGUUCGGAUUCGAGUAGCUCUUCUGGAAGUGAUUUGGGUGCCAAAGUUCCUUCGGCAAACAUCGGGGCUAAGGAGAACGUACUACCCGUGUUUAGCUUGGACCAGGAGAACGAUUCACAGGAUACAUUGAAUAUACAAGAACAAUGUGCUGACCGUGUACCUAUUUCUGCUGAUGAUGAGGAGGAGAACGUGUCUGAUAAAAAAUACCGAGCUGCCCUUUUGAAAAGCCGCUUCGCUGAUACAAUUCUCAAAGCUCGUGAGAAGGCUCUUGAUCAGGUGAAGGAUCCUGAGAAAGUUCGGCGCGAGAGGGAGGAGCUUGAAAGGUUACAAAGGGAAGAGAGAGCUCGGUUACAAGCUGAGGCUAAAGCUGCUGAGGAAGCUCGCAAGAGGGCUGAAGCAGCAGCUGCUGCUGAGGCUGCUGCAGAAGCUAAACGCCAAAGAGAACGUGAAAGAGAAGCAGCUCGUAAAGCCUUGCAGCAGAUGGAGAAAACUGUAGAAAUCAAUGAAGGGAACCUCUUCCUGAAAGAUUUUGAAAUGCUUGGAACAGUCACAGGUGAACAGAAUCUCAACUUGGUCGGUGAAAUGAGUCCAAGCCAUACACCUGAGCCCCUCGGAUUUCAACUUGGGGGCAACCCCCUAGAACAGCUUGGAUUGUAUAUGAAAAAUGACGACGAAGAAGACGAGGAAGUCGAGUCCGCAGAUGAACCAACAGUUGAUGUUGAGGAGGGCGAAAUAGACUGA
This 2253-nucleotide ribosomal RNA is filed under the name Triticum aestivum (bread wheat). RNAcentral's name for it is "partial small subunit ribosomal RNA". Lineage: Eukaryota; Viridiplantae; Streptophyta; Magnoliopsida; Poales; Poaceae. The record is from RNAcentral.